RNAcentral lists this ribosomal RNA (294 nucleotides) under uncultured bacterium. Its description in RNAcentral is "partial 16S ribosomal RNA". It matches the Rfam family "Bacterial small subunit ribosomal RNA", at positions 775 to 1067 of the family's 1533-position model. The record is from RNAcentral.
GGAUUAGAUACCCUGGUAGUCCACGCCGUAAACUAUGGAUGCUAGCUGUAAGUCGUAUCGACCCGACUUGUAGCGAAGCUAACGCGUUAAGCAUCCCACCUGUGGAGUACGAGCGCAAGCUUAAAACAUAAAGGAAUUGACGGGGACCCGCACAAGCGGUGGAGCGUGUUGUUUAAUUCGAUGAUAAGCGAAGAACCUUACCAAGGCUUGACAUCCUGUGAAGCACUGCGAAAGCAGAGUGUGCCGCAAGGAGCACAGUGACAGGUGAUGCAUGGCCGUCGUCAGCUCGUGCCG